Molecule: long non-coding RNA, 436 nt
Organism: Alosa alosa (allis shad)
Lineage: Eukaryota; Metazoa; Chordata; Actinopteri; Clupeiformes; Clupeidae
Exons: 3
Source: RefSeq, a predicted model, not a curated record
GUGUAUAAGAAAGCAGGAUGAGAGGGCCGCUGCAGAGGCAAAAGCGCAAGCGGUCAUCGAUGAGGACUACAAGAAACUCGGACCUCUAUCGUUUGCGGAGAGUGCCAUCGCUUUCUUCUUCAUCAUCUUCGCCUUCCUCCUCUUCACCAGAGAUCCCAAGUUUGUCACUGGAUGGUCCGUUUUCUUCAACAAAGGGUACGUUUCGGAUGCAGUAACAGGCGUCAUUAUCGUCUCCAUCUUGUUCUUCUUCCCUUCCCAGAAACCCUCCCUCAGCUGGUGGUUCGACCCCAAAGGUCAGUCUGUAUGUGUGUGUAUGUGUGUGUGUGUGUGUGUGUGUAAAUACAUGGUGAGGAAUUUUAAUGGAGCAGCUUAGCUUGUCUGAGCCCACGUUGUUAGACUGUGUUAGAGUGAGUGUGUGGGGGUAAGUGUGUAUGUG